This is a long non-coding RNA of Papaver somniferum (opium poppy), 642 nucleotides long. RefSeq lists it as uncharacterized. The record is from RefSeq and is a predicted model, not a curated record. Lineage: Eukaryota; Viridiplantae; Streptophyta; Magnoliopsida; Ranunculales; Papaveraceae. The transcript has 3 exons.
CAGACAACACGGCUCACUGUUGAUUCUCUCUUUCUCUUCUUUACCGCCUCCUCAUCUCUACCUCUUUCCAUUCUUAGGGAGAAACCCUAGCCUUGAUAUUUACUAUAUGCUUCUCUUCCAUUUUUCUUACGAUUUCCUUUUCUAAAAUUAUAAUUUUGAUCCAUAGAUGAGAAAAGAGAUCCUGCUUUCGUCUUUGGUGGAGAAGAACACCAGAGAUGUUGAGCUUUGUACAGUGCAAUCAUAACGAGGAUCCAAAUGUCAAAGUUAAUUCGUAAGGUGUGGAGAACUUAUAUAUUACUGCCCAUUGAAAGAAUGAUAUAAGGAAAUACAUCACAUCCUAGAGUAUGCCACUACAUGAUUCAUGUUGUAAAUGUCUUCCGAUUGUUCAGAGCUAAUGCUCUUAUCUUUUUGUUGAUGUUAAUGUGUUGGAUACUCCGAUGGCAGGAAAUUUUGCAAGCAAGUGUUUCUCUUUUUAGUGCUAAGGUAUUCGGGUUUAAUUUGUAUGUGAGAAAUGGUCUACUUAUAAAGAAGUUUUUUGUUGAAAAAAAAUAAACAUGUAACUUCUAAAAUGAUAAUUUGUAGUAAAUCAUUUUUAUUUUACAUAUUUCUAAUGAAUGAUCUUCACAUGGGGCAACCCGAGGA